ACGGGUGAGUAAUGCAUCGGGAUCUACCCUGACGUGGGGGAUAACCUCGGGAAACCGGGACUAAUACCGCAUACGUCCUACGGGAGAAAGCGGGGGACCUUUUAGGCCUCGCGCGGCAGGACGAACCGAUGUGCGAUUAGCUAGUUGGCGGGGUAAUGGCCCACCAAGGCGACGAUCGCUAGCUGGUCUGAGAGGAUGAUCAGCCACACUGGGACUGAGACACGGCCCAGACUCCUACGGGAGGCAGCAGUGGGGAAUAUUGGACAAUGGGCGCAAGCCUGAUCCAGCAAUGCCGCGUGUGUGAAGAAGGCCUUCGGGUUGUAAAGCACUUUUAUCAGGAGCGAAAUCUGCAUGCUUAAUACGUGUGCAGUCUGACGGUACCUGAGGAAUAAGCACCGGCUAACUUCGUGCCAGCAGCCGCGGUAAUACGAAGGGUGCAAGCGUUAAUCGGAAUUACUGGGCGUAAAGGGUGCGUAGGCGGUUCGUUAAGUCUGUCGUGAAAUCCCCGGGCUCAACCUGGGAAUGGCGAUGGAUACUGGCGAGCUAGAGUGUGUCAGAGGAUGGUGGAAUUCCCGGUGUAGC
This 582-nucleotide ribosomal RNA is filed under the name Rhodanobacter sp. StRD731. RNAcentral's name for it is "bacterial SSU rRNA". It matches the Rfam family "Bacterial small subunit ribosomal RNA", at positions 102 to 679 of the family's 1533-position model. Lineage: Bacteria; Pseudomonadati; Pseudomonadota; Gammaproteobacteria; Lysobacterales; Rhodanobacteraceae. The record is from RNAcentral.